GUUUCAAUAAGUGGAACUGGAACAGGGAAUAGCAGAUGACCUUGAGAUUCAUCACAUUGUUGUGAAUGACUGGGACCGCGGUGUGGAUGCUGACCAGAAUGUGGUUCUGAUAUCAGUCCCUAGUGUUCUUAGCCCGAACCUUGCGCCACCAGGAAAACAUGUUUUGCAUGCUUACUGUCCUGGAACCGAACCUUUCAGUCUCUGGGAAGGUCUUGACAGGAGAAGUGCCGAGUACAAGAAUCUCAAAUCCCAACGGUCCGAGGUGAUGUGGAGAGCAGUUGAGCGGGCAUUAGGGCCCGGGUUCAAGAGAGAAAAGUGCGAGGUGAGUUUGGUUGGAACACCAUUAACGCAUCAGAGGUUUCUAAGGAGGAAUAGAGGAACGUAUGGGCCUGCCAUAGAGGCUGGGAAAGGUACGUUUCCUGGCCAUUCCACUCCUAUUCCGCAGCUUUUGUGCUGCGGUGACUCGACCUUUCCCGGGAUUGGUGUUCCUGCAGUGGCAGCUAGUGGCGCCAUUGUGGCGAAUUCCCUUGUUCCUGUUUCUAAGCAUUCUGAGCUUCUUGAUGCUAUUGGCUUGUAGAAAGAUAUGCUAUUGAUUACCAUAUAUGUAUGUUUCGUCUAGUAACAUGUUUUCAUACUAUACUACCGAAGCUAGCAGUUUCGCGAUAGCAUUAGUGGAUUAUUUACCGUAAUGAUUGGUAGUGGGAUAUCUAAACAUA
This is a non-coding RNA of Camelina sativa (false flax), 716 nucleotides long. Lineage: Eukaryota; Viridiplantae; Streptophyta; Magnoliopsida; Brassicales; Brassicaceae. The record is from RefSeq and is a predicted model, not a curated record.